CCUGGCUCAGGAUGAACGCUAGCGGCAGGCUUAACACAUGCAAGUCGAGGGGCAGCGCGGGGCGGCAACGUCCUGGCGGCGACCGGCGGAAGGGUGCGUAACGCGUGAGCGACAUGCCCGUUGCCCGGGGACAACCGGUGGAAACGCCGACUAAUCCCCGAUGGGACGGAGGCCCUCAUGGGUCUCUGUUGAAAGUUACGGCGGCGACGGAUUGGCUCGCGUCCGAUUAGCUUGUUGGCGGGGUAACGGCCCACCAAGGCUACGAUCGGUAGGGGUUCUGAGAGGAAGGUCCCCCACAAUGGAACUGAGACACGGUCCAUACUCCUACGGGAGGCAGCAGUGAGGAAUAUUGGUCAAUGGGCGGAAGCCUGAACCAGCCAUGCCGCGUGCGGGAAGGAGGCCCUAUGGGCUGUGAACCGCUUUUGCCUGGGGGCAAUAAGGGCGUCGUGCACGUCCGAUGAGAGUACCAGGCGAAUAAGCAUCGGCUAACUCCGUGCCAGCAGCCGCGGUAAUACGGGGGAUGCGAGCGUUAUCCGGAUUCAUUGGGUUUAAAGGGUGCGUAGGCUGUGCGUCAAGUCAGGGGUGAAAUUCCGGGGCUCAACUCCGGGGCUGCCCUUGAUACUGUCGCGCUGGAGUGCGGAUGCCGCCGGAGGAAUGAGUGGUGUAGCGGUGAAAUGCUUAGAUAUCACUCAGAACACCGAUUGCGAAGGCAUCUGGCGAAUCCGUAACUGACGCUGAGGCACGAAAGCGUGGGGAUAGAACAGGAUUAGAUACCCUGGUAUUCCACGCCGUAAACGAUGAUGGCUAACCGCCGGCGACACACUGUCGGUGGCCAAGGGAAAGCGAUAAGCCAUCCACCUGGGGAGUACGUCGU
RNAcentral lists this ribosomal RNA (874 nucleotides) under uncultured Bacillota bacterium. RNAcentral's name for it is "bacterial SSU rRNA". It matches the Rfam family "Bacterial small subunit ribosomal RNA", at positions 18 to 888 of the family's 1533-position model. The record is from RNAcentral. Lineage: Bacteria; Bacillati; Bacillota.